CUCUGUGUCAUUUUACGCAGCGUGGGAAAGUUCUUUGUAAUUUUCCCACACUGUGUAAAAUGACACAGAG
RNAcentral lists this microRNA precursor (70 nucleotides) under Pelobates cultripes (western spadefoot toad). The record is from RNAcentral. Lineage: Eukaryota; Metazoa; Chordata; Amphibia; Anura; Pelobatidae.